CCUACGGGAGGCUGCAGUGGGGAAUAUUGCACAAUGGGGGAAACCCUGAUGCAGCGACGCCGCGUGAGUGAAGAAGUAAUUCGUUAUGUAAAGCUCUAUCAGCAGGGAAGAAAAUGACGGUACCUGAGUAAGAAGCCCCGGCUAACUACGUGCCAGCAGCCGCGGUAAUACGUAGGGGGCAAGCGCUAUCCGGAUUCACUGGGUGUAAAGGGAGCGUAGACGGCAGUGCAAGUCUGGAGUGAAAGGCGGGGGCUCAACCCCCGGACUGCUCAGGAAACUGUACGGCUGGAGUGCAGGAGAGGUAAGUGGAAUUCCUGGUGUAGCAGUGAAAUGCGUAGAUAUUAGGAGGAACACCAGUGGCGAAGGCGGCUUACUGGACUGUAACUGACGUUGAGGCUCGAAGGCGUGGGGAGCGAACGGGAUUAGAUACCCGAGUAGUC
RNAcentral lists this ribosomal RNA (440 nucleotides) under uncultured bacterium. RNAcentral describes it as "partial 16S ribosomal RNA". It matches the Rfam family "Bacterial small subunit ribosomal RNA", at positions 338 to 795 of the family's 1533-position model. The record is from RNAcentral.